This 495-nucleotide ribosomal RNA is filed under the name uncultured bacterium. Its description in RNAcentral is "partial 16S ribosomal RNA". It matches the Rfam family "Bacterial small subunit ribosomal RNA", at positions 28 to 507 of the family's 1533-position model. The record is from RNAcentral.
GAUGAACGCUGGCGGCGUGCCUAAUACAUGCAAGUAGAACGCUGAAGGAGGAGCUUGCUCUUCUGGAUGAGUUGCGAACGGGUGAGUAACGCGUAGGUAACCUGCCUGGUAGCGGGGGAUAACUAUUGGAAACGAUAGCUAAUACCGCAUGACAACAGUUAUUGCAUGAUAACUGUUGAAAAGGGGCACCUGCUCCACUACCAGAUGGACCUUCGUUGUAUUAUCUAGUUGUUGAGGUAACGGCUCACUAAGGCGACGAUACAGAGCCGACCUGAGAGGGGGGUCGGCCAACCUGGGAAUGAGACACGGCCCAGAGGGCUGAGGGAGGGAGCAAGAGGGAAACUUGGGGAAUAGACGGAAGACUGACCGAGCAACGCCGCGGGAGGGGAGAAGGUUGUCGGGUCGGAAAGCUCGGUUGUAAGGGAAGAACGAGUGUGAGAGUGGAAAGUUCACACUGUGACGGUAUCUGAUCAGAAAGGGACGGCUAACUACGUG